This is a long non-coding RNA of Etheostoma spectabile (orangethroat darter), 1048 nucleotides long. RefSeq lists it as uncharacterized. The transcript is spliced from 7 exons. The record is from RefSeq and is a predicted model, not a curated record. Lineage: Eukaryota; Metazoa; Chordata; Actinopteri; Perciformes; Percidae.
UGUCAAGGGCGGACUUUUAGUUUAUGUUCAAAAUAGAAUGAGCAGCUUUUUUUCCCCGUUUCACACGAUGAAUCCACGUUUUUAGUGUCAUGAAAUACUAGCUUACUUUGAUUAAUUCACGGUCGCCAACAAGGACAUUUGGUCGAGCGAUGUCGUCCGCUGGUUGACGUUUAAUAACGGUGAUUUAUUUCGUCACUCAGGAAGCUCUACACAUUCAUCCAGCGAUGUUACCCAUGAGGACCAUGAUGACGCCUGUCAAGCCCUCCCAAAAAACUGCAGCUGCAACAAAGAUCAAAAACAAGAUUCUCAACUCCUCCUUCUUCUUCAAGGUCUCUUGAAGACCAACAACAAGGCCUGGCGCUGGCCUUGGAGGCCCAGAAGGAGAGGAGCAGGCAGCUGCAGAAGGGGAUUGUGUUCUAUCAGAGACAAGUGAAGGCUCUCUGCUUCGAGCUGUCCACCAAUAAAUACAAGCAAAGGAAACUGCUCCUCAUCCUGAAAACCUUCCACAGCAACACUCUGCAGCACUUUAACAUGGUGGCGGACCUGUUCUCAGACAGUGAUCAUCCUAAACCGUCUGACGACAACACAACUUUAUCUGGUGACAUCGAAGAAAAUCUUAUAGUGGCAAGUCUUACAGAUCAGUUACCUCCUCAGCCAGACAUUUUAGGGAAUUUGUUCUGUCCCCUCGGAAAAGUAACUGCGGACUUGCCUGAAAAAAACAUUGGCACAAAUGUCUUGAAUAUCCAGAACAGACGCAGGGAGGUCACUGACAUUUUCUGUGAUAACGUAGAUGCUGAGAAAAGGAAUUCAAGCCAUUAUACAAACUCCCCAGAAAGGAAAAUCCCGUCCAUCCAGCAGCCUUAGGGAUGAAGUGGAGAGGCUGUCAUCGAUGUUCUCUCAAACUGUGUUUGAUAUCAAGUCGGUCCCCUGUUUUCCGAACAGUCAAACCCCCUCAGCUGUAAGCGCGUGUGAAAAACCUCAGCCAUAUCUCUCUGACACGUUCCCGUACCAAGUGGCUCAUUCAUGGAAAUAGAACCAGAACAUGGUA